This 264-nucleotide ribosomal RNA is filed under the name Triticum aestivum (bread wheat). Its description in RNAcentral is "partial small subunit ribosomal RNA". Lineage: Eukaryota; Viridiplantae; Streptophyta; Magnoliopsida; Poales; Poaceae. The record is from RNAcentral.
AUGGAAAGGCGACUUCAUGCAGAUUUGUUUGUUCCAAUGAGGGCAUUAGAAGGAAAGGGCAAACCGACCGUGAGCCAAAACGUUUUAGAGCUGAAACAAGAACUAAUUGUAGAGUUCAUAUGGUUAUUAGAUUGGAUCGAGCUGCAGAAAAUUAUGAAGUUACUGAUGUUGAGCUGGAACACAACCACUAUCUUCAAUUGCCACAAACACGCCACUUGUUGGCAUCACAAAGGAAGAUUUCAUAAGCACAAGCUUUCGAGAUAG